AGUUUGGAUCCUGGCUCAGAUUGAACGCUGGCGGCAGGCCUAACACAUGCAAGUCGAGCGGGGUUUUCGGACCUAGCGGCGGACGGGUGAGUAAUGCGUAGGAAGCUGCCCGAUAGAGGGGGAUACCAGUUGGAAACGACUGUUAAUACCGCAUAAUGUCUACGGCCAAAGUGUGGGACCUUCGGGCCACAUGCUAUCGGAUGCGCCUACGUGGGAUUAGCUAGUUGGUGAGGUAAUGGCUCACCAAGGCGACGAUCUCUAGCUGGUUUGAGAGGAUGAUCAGCCACACUGGAACUGAGACACGGUCCAGACUCCUACGGGAGGCAGCAGUGGGGAAUAUUGGACAAUGGGCGCAAGCCUGAUCCAGCCAUGCCGCGUGUGUGAAGAAGGCCUUCGGGUUGUAAAGCACUUUCAGCGAGGAGGAAGGGGUAGUAGUUAAUAGCUGCUACUUUUGACGUUACUCGCAGAAGAAGCACCGGCUAACUCUGUG
This 490-nucleotide ribosomal RNA is filed under the name uncultured Rheinheimera sp. Its description in RNAcentral is "bacterial SSU rRNA". It matches the Rfam family "Bacterial small subunit ribosomal RNA", at positions 10 to 507 of the family's 1533-position model. Lineage: Bacteria; Pseudomonadati; Pseudomonadota; Gammaproteobacteria; Chromatiales; Chromatiaceae. The record is from RNAcentral.